This is a long non-coding RNA of Oncorhynchus tshawytscha (Chinook salmon), 1371 nucleotides long. RefSeq lists it as uncharacterized. NCBI's taxonomy places the organism in Eukaryota, Metazoa, Chordata, Actinopteri, Salmoniformes, Salmonidae. The transcript has 5 exons. The record is from RefSeq and is a predicted model, not a curated record.
ACCUUUUACUCCUGACCAAUCAGCCAAAACCACCGCCGCCUAUUGCUGCAACCACUGGCCGGAUUGUUCCAUCAAUCAAAUCUUAGGAAGUAGUUUGAAGAGGAGAAGGGAAGUCAUUUCUUCAAAGUAACUAGAAUAUAAUGAUCAACCUGAAGGUGGAGGGGAAGUAAGAUCACUAGAAAGCAGAAUUCUGCCAGACAACCACAGGACCCAAGAGACCUCUACAUGCUGUAACAUGGGCCUGGAUGGUGAGGCACAACUGCUUCUGGCUGCCGUACUGAAUAUUGGGGCCUUCAGUGGUACCUGACGUUACACAGGAUGCACAGACAACUAUGGUUUGCAUGCCCUACUGAAGGACCCUACUGUGCGGAAUAGGUGGUUGUAGUUCGUUGGUCCCCAAUGGUGAUACCUUUAUGGAGACAGCACUUGGGGAGACUUCCAAGAUGAUAUGAUGGAGUCCAGACUGACGAGACAGGCUUGAUGCUGAUGUCUCUGAAUGGAUCAAGACCUUGCACUCAGCAAUAUAGUUAUACAGGACACAUCUAUUUGAAGUCUGAAUCCCGUUUGGGUGAAAGAUCGUCCAUUGACAGACUUGUUGGGGAAUGCUUGGCGAGUUAGCUGGUUAGCCUAGCUAUAAACGUAGCUGGCUAGCUAACUUCAACGGCAAUAACAGAAACACUUAACCGCUAAAACAUAUGGACUCCUGUAAGAAAUCUACGCAGUGGUGAGAAAAGCAUAGAGCUAAAUAUAUCAAAGAAAGUGCCAAUCCAAAGAUGGAUGAAUGAAAAAUAAAUGAAUAGCAAAGUUAACAGCUUACGUGGAUAAAGCCAUCCAGGAUAAUCAUACAGUUUUGCUGACUCAACUGGAAUAAUAACAAGCAGCUACAUGACCACAUAGCUCUUGAAGUUGGACGUCUCCAGACUCGUGUAGAAUUCCUAGAAUCUUGGAGAAUAGGCGCUGCCAAAACAACUAAGUUCCACUAAGACGUGUCUGUCAUAGUUGCAGGACUGCCAGCUGACGAAAACGAGGACCUAAUGUCCAAGGUGAACCAGCUGAUAUUGGUAGGCUGCGAAACAGAGUUGAUUGCAGUUGAGAGGAUGAGGGAGAGAGGUAAAGGUCCCGGGUCGUGAAGGUGGGGUGUCAACCCACGAAGGAGAAAGUGGCGAAUAACAAUAAUAAAAUCCUUAAACCCAUACGUUAUCUCAAUAAAUGAAACAUUUGCGUUGGCAAGAAACUUGAUUUUGAAGGGCAUGCAUGGUAUGGACACAACAGAAAAGUUCCUCUGUCCAAUGUCUGUGUUCUUUUGUCCAUCUUAAUCUUUUCUUUUUAUUGGCCAAUCUGAGAUAUGGCUUUUUCUUUGCAACUCUGCCU